RNAcentral lists this ribosomal RNA (374 nucleotides) under uncultured bacterium. Its description in RNAcentral is "bacterial SSU rRNA". It matches the Rfam family "Bacterial small subunit ribosomal RNA", at positions 524 to 898 of the family's 1533-position model. The record is from RNAcentral.
UACGAAGGGGGCUAGCGUUGUUCGGAAUUACUGGGCGUAAAGCGCACGCAGGCGGUUCGGUCAGUCAGAAGUGAAAGCCCCGGGCUUAACCUGGGAACUGCUUUUGAUACUGCCGAGCUUGAAUCACGGAGAGGGUAGUGGAAUUCCGAGUGUAGAGGUGAAAUUCGUAGAUAUUCGGAAGAACACCAGUGGCGAAGGCGACUACCUGGCCGUCGAUUGACGCUCAUGUGCGAAAGCGUGGGGAGCAAACAGGAUUAGAUACCCUGGUAGUCCACGCCGUAAACGAUGAGUGCUAGUUGUUGGGGUACAUGUACCUCAGUGACGCAGCUAACGCGUUAAGCACUCCGCCUGGGGAGUACGGCCGCAAGGUUAAA